GACGAACGCUGGCGGCGUGCUUAACACAUGCAAGUCGAACGGUAAGGCUCCAGCUUGCUGGGGUACACGAGUGGCGAACGGGUGAGUAACACGUGGGUGACCUGCCCUGCACUUCGGGAUAAGCCUGGGAAACUGGGUCUAAUACCGGAUAGGACCGCACCGUGAGGGUGUGGUGGAAAGUUUUUUCGGUGUGGGAUGGGCCCGCGGCCUAUCAGCUUGUUGGUGGGGUAAUGGCCUACCAAGGCGGCGACGGGUAGCCGGCCUGAGAGGGUGGACGGCCACAUUGGGACUGAGACACGGCCCAGACUCCUACGGGAGGCAGCAGUGGGGAAUAUUGCACAAUGGGCGGAAGCCUGAUGCAGCGACGCCGCGUGGGGGAUGACGGCCUUCGGGUUGUAAACUCCUUUCACCAUCGACGAAGGGUUUCUGACGGUAGAUGGAGAAGAAGCACCGGCUAACUACGUGCCAGCAGCCGCGGUAAUACGUAGGGUGCGAGCGUUGUCCGGAAUUACUGGGCGUAAAGAGCUCGUAGGUGGUUUGUCGCGUCGUCUGUGAAAUUCCGGGGCUUAACUCCGGGCGUGCAGGCGAUACGGGCAUAACUUGAGUACUGUAGGGGAGACUGGAAUUCCUGGUGUAGCGGUGAAAUGCGCAGAUAUCAGGAGGAACACCGGUGGCGAAGGCGGGUCUCUGGGCAGUAACUGACGCUGAGGAGCGAAAGCAUGGGGAGCGAACAGGAUUAGAUACCCUGGUAGUCCAUGCCGUAAACGGUGGGCGCUAGGUGUGGGUUUCCUUCCACGGGAUCCGUGCCGUAGCUAACGCAUUAAGCGCCCCGCCUGGGGAGUACGGCCGCAAGGCUAAAACUCAAAGGAAUUGACGGGGGCCCGCACAAGCGGCGGAGCAUGUGGAUUAAUUCGAUGCAACGCGAAGAACCUUACCUGGGCUAGACAUAUACAGGAUCGCGCCAGAGAUGGUGUUUCCCUUGUGGCUUGUAUACAGGUGGUGCAUGGUUGUCGUCAGCUCGUGUCGUGAGAUGUUGGGUUAAGUCCCGCAACGAGCGCAACCCUUGUCUUAUGUUGCCAGCACGUUGUGGUGGGGACUCGUAAGAAACUGCCGGGGUUAACUCGGAGGAAGGUGGGGAUGACGUCAAAUCAUCAUGCCCCUUAUGUCCAGGGCUUCACACAUGCUACAAUGGUCGGUACAGUGGGUUGCCAGUCCGUGAGGGCGAGCUAAUCCCGCAAAGCCGGUCUCAGUUCGGAUCGGGGUCUGCAACUCGACCCCGUGAAGUCGGAGUCGCUAGUAAUCGCAGAUCAGCAACGCUGCGGUGAAUACGUUCCCGGGCCU
RNAcentral lists this ribosomal RNA (1341 nucleotides) under uncultured bacterium. Its description in RNAcentral is "partial 16S ribosomal RNA". It matches the Rfam family "Bacterial small subunit ribosomal RNA", at positions 28 to 1381 of the family's 1533-position model. The record is from RNAcentral.